RNAcentral lists this transfer RNA (87 nucleotides) under Rhodothermaceae bacterium. RNAcentral's name for it is "tRNA-Leu". It matches the Rfam family "tRNA". From Rfam's summary of the family: Transfer RNA (tRNA) molecules are approximately 80 nucleotides in length. Lineage: Bacteria; Pseudomonadati; Rhodothermota; Rhodothermia; Rhodothermales; Rhodothermaceae. RNAcentral also lists the same sequence under 1 other name. The record is from RNAcentral.
GCGAGAGUGGUGAAAUUGGUAGACACGCCAGAUUUAGGAUCUGGUGCCCGAAAAGGCUUGGGGGUUCGAGUCCCCCCUCUCGUACCA